This is a non-coding RNA of Tachysurus fulvidraco (yellow catfish), 550 nucleotides long. Lineage: Eukaryota; Metazoa; Chordata; Actinopteri; Siluriformes; Bagridae. The record is from the annotation of a RefSeq genome assembly.
UUAAGGAUAAAAUCUAAUCCAGACAUAAUUUUUCUCUUUGUUUUUUUCAGAGCAACACCACACACACAAACGCGCACGCACACACUCACACACAAAGUGACUCAACAUGGUUACUGCUCUCAUUAUCACGAUACUUUUAUAUUUCACAGGUCCUUCUGUUUGUUCUGUCAUCCAGAAUCCUCCUUACCUCAUAAAAUAUCAAGAUGAGUUAGCUGAGAUCGAAUGUGCACACACUGUAAAAAACUAUGACCGUAUACUGUGGUACAAACACGGUCAGGACACAGGAUUUCAAUUCAUGGGAUAUAUUUUCAAUGCGUCUCCAAAUCCAGAGGCAAAUUUUAAAUCAAAGGUCAAGUUCAGCGGUGAUGGGAGAAACAACGCUUCUUUGACCAUUAACAGUGUUUCAGUGAACGACAGUGCUGUGUAUUUCUGUGCAGCUUAUUACACAGUGCUGUAGAUCAGCUAACUUAAUUACAAAAACCUUUAUCUGAUCCAUGUUACAGACAAACCCCAACACCUGCAGCUGUGGCUGGAUUCGAUUUAAUGCCAA